AGAGCGAACGCUGGCGGCAGGCCUAAUACAUGCAAGUCGAACGGAUCCUUCGGGAUUAGUGGCGGACGGGUGAGUAACACGUGGGAACGUACCCUUUGGUUCGGAACAACUCAGGGAAACUUGAGCUAAUACCGAAUGUGCCCUUCGGGGAAAAGAUUUAUCGCCAUUGGAGCGGCCCGCGUCUGAUUAGCUAGUUGGUAGGGUAAAGGCCUACCAAGGCUACGAUCAGUAGCUGGUCUGAGAGGAUGAUCAGCCACACUGGGACUGAGACACGGCCCAGACUCCUACGGGAGGCAGCAGUAGGGAAUCUUGCGCAAUGGGCGAAAGCCUGACGCAGCCAUGCCGCGUGAAUGAUGAAGGUCUUAGGAUUGUAAAAUUCUUUCAGCGGGGACGAUAAGUGACGGUACCCGCAGAAGAACGCCCGGCUAACUUCGCGCCAGCAGCCGC
This 447-nucleotide ribosomal RNA is filed under the name uncultured bacterium. RNAcentral's name for it is "SSU rRNA". It matches the Rfam family "Bacterial small subunit ribosomal RNA", at positions 26 to 518 of the family's 1533-position model. The record is from RNAcentral.